UGGGGCAUUUGCACUAAUUCCCUCUGUAUAUAUUAUAUAUACAACAGUCUUGCUAUUCCAAUUGUACGACUAGUAUUACAGUUUUACAGUGUUAAGUAGCUCAAAUAGGAAUUCGAUAAAAUAAGUCUCAAUAAUUAAGUAAACAUGACCUUAGAUAGAAUAAAUGUAAAUAAGUACAAUGAAAGAAAAAUGAUACAUAGUUAUAUUUAUGAUCUUUGUUAGUGAAUUACUAC
RNAcentral lists this long non-coding RNA (233 nucleotides) under Mytilus galloprovincialis (Mediterranean mussel). The record is from RNAcentral. Lineage: Eukaryota; Metazoa; Mollusca; Bivalvia; Mytilida; Mytilidae.